GUGGGGAAUUUUGGACAAUGGGGGCAACCCUGAUCCAGCAAUGCCGCGUGUGUGAAGAAGGCCUUCGGGUUGUAAAGCACUUUUGUCCGGAAAGAAAUCGCACUUACUAAUAUUAGGUGUGGAUGACGGUACCGGAAGAAUAAGGACCGGCUAACUACGUGCCAGCAGCCGCGGUAAUACGUAGGGUCCAAGCGUUAAUCGGAAUUACUGGGCGUAAAGCGUGCGCAGGCGGUUGUGCAAGACCGAUGUGAAAUCCCCGGGCUUAACCUGGGAAUUGCAUUGGUGACUGCACGGCUAGAGUGUGUCAGAGGGGGGUAGAAUUCCACGUGUAGCAGUGAAAUGCGUAGAGAUGUGGAGGAAUACCGAUGGCGAAGGCAGCCCCCUGGGAUAACACUGACGCUCAUGCACGAAAGCGUGGGGAGCAAACAGGAUUAGAAACCCCUGUAGUCC
Molecule: ribosomal RNA, 450 nt
Filed under: uncultured bacterium
Lineage: Bacteria
Description: bacterial SSU rRNA
Rfam family: Bacterial small subunit ribosomal RNA
Source: RNAcentral